RNAcentral lists this ribosomal RNA (253 nucleotides) under uncultured bacterium. Its description in RNAcentral is "partial 16S ribosomal RNA". It matches the Rfam family "Bacterial small subunit ribosomal RNA", at positions 524 to 776 of the family's 1533-position model. The record is from RNAcentral.
UACGGAGGGUGCAAACGUUGCUCGGAAUCAUUGGGCGUAAAGCGCACGUAGGUGGCCUAUUAAGUCAGGUGUGAAAGCCCUGGGCUCAACCCAGGAAGUGCACUUGAUACUGGUAGGCUUGAGUACUGAAGAGGGUCGCGGAAUUCCCGGUGUAGAGGUGAAAGUCGUAGAUAUCGGGAGGAACACCAGUGGCGAAGGCGGCGACCUGGGCAGAUACUGACACUGAGGUGCGAAAGCGUGGGGAGCAAACAGG